RNAcentral lists this transfer RNA (77 nucleotides) under Peptostreptococcus anaerobius. Its description in RNAcentral is "tRNA-Lys(ttt)". It matches the Rfam family "tRNA". From Rfam's summary of the family: Transfer RNA (tRNA) molecules are approximately 80 nucleotides in length. Lineage: Bacteria; Bacillati; Bacillota; Clostridia; Peptostreptococcales; Peptostreptococcaceae. The record is from RNAcentral. RNAcentral also lists the same sequence under 1 other name.
AUCGGUGUAGCUCAGUCGGUAGAAGCACUUGACUUUUAAUUAAGAUGUCAUGGGUUCGAUUCCCAUCACCGAUACCA